AACGCAUAUUGCGCUUUCUGGUAUCCCCAGGGAGCAUGCUUGUCUGAGGGUCGGUAAAACAAAUCAUCGAGACUAUUUUGAUGGUCGAUGGGUGUUGAUCCGGGUAGCCUCUUUGGGGAUUAAACCGGUCACCUGAAAUAAUAGGCAUCCGCACCGUUUAGCGGACUCGUGUAGUAACUCUGCUUAAAGCAACGACUCACGAUUAGGCGACGGAAAGCGAGAAGCCCAUUCUUUGGUUUUUUUUAAAACCAAUGCGUCUCUGGCGCACUCUUCGUAUUCUCGACCUCAGAUCAAGCAAGACUACCCGCUGAACUUAA
This 317-nucleotide unclassified non-coding RNA is filed under the name uncultured fungus. RNAcentral describes it as "partial contains 5.8S ribosomal RNA, internal transcribed spacer 2, and large subunit ribosomal RNA". The record is from RNAcentral. Lineage: Eukaryota; Fungi.